This 465-nucleotide ribosomal RNA is filed under the name uncultured bacterium. RNAcentral describes it as "partial 16S ribosomal RNA". It matches the Rfam family "Bacterial small subunit ribosomal RNA", at positions 28 to 507 of the family's 1533-position model. The record is from RNAcentral.
GAUGAACGCUGGCGGCGUGCUUAACACAUGCAAGUCGAACGGAAAGGCUCCUGCUUUCCGGGGUACUCGAGUGGCGAACGGGUGAGUAACACGCGUGUGUUCUGCCCUGCACUUCGGGAUAAGCCUGGGGAACUGGGGCUAAUACCGGAUAGGAUGUUGGUUUGGAUGUCAUUGUGGAAAGAUGUUCGGUUUGGGAUGAGCUCGCGGCCUAUCAGCUUGUUGGUGGGGUAAUGGCUUACCAAGGCGUCGACGGGUAGCCGGCCUGGGAGGGUGUACGGCCACAUUGGGACUGAGAUACGGCGCAGACGCCUACGGGAGGCAGCAGUGGGGAAUAUUGCACAAUGGGCGCAAGCCUGAUGCAGCGACGCCGCGUGCGGGAUGACGGCCUUCGGGUUGUAAACAACUUUCGCUGGGGACGAAGCGCAAGUGACGGUACCUGGAGAAGAAGCACCGGCUAACUACGUG